This 253-nucleotide ribosomal RNA is filed under the name uncultured bacterium. RNAcentral describes it as "partial 16S ribosomal RNA". It matches the Rfam family "Bacterial small subunit ribosomal RNA", at positions 524 to 776 of the family's 1533-position model. The record is from RNAcentral.
UACGUAGGGUGCGAGCGUUAAUCGGAAUUACUGGGCGUAAAGCGUGCGUAGGCGGUUCGUUAAGUUUGCGGUGAAAGCCCCGGGCUCAACCUGGGAAUGGCCGUGGAAACUGGCGGGCUGGAGUGUGGCAGAGGGGGGUGGAAUUCCGCGUGUAGCAGUGAAAUGCGUAGAGAUGCGGAGGAACACCGAUGGCGAAGGCAGCCCCCUGGGCCAACACUGACGCUCAGGCACGAAAGCGUGGGGAGCAAACAGG